Molecule: ribosomal RNA, 467 nt
Filed under: uncultured bacterium
Lineage: Bacteria
Description: bacterial SSU rRNA
Rfam family: Bacterial small subunit ribosomal RNA
Source: RNAcentral
AAUCAACGCUGGCGGCGUGCCUCAGACAUGCAAGUCGAACGAUUAAAGCUCUCUUCGGAGAGUGCAUAGAGUGGCGCACGGGUGAGUAACACGUAAGUAAUCUACCCUCGAGUGGGGAAUAAACGUCCGGAAACGGACGCUAAUACCGCAUAAUGCAGCGGCACCGCAAGGUGACAGUUGUUAAAGAUUUAUCGCUUGAGGAGGAGCUUGCGGCAGAUUAGCUAGUUGGUAAGGUAAUGGCUUACCAAGGCUACGAUCUGUAACCGGUCUUAGAGGACCGGUCGGUCACACUGACACUGAAUAACGGGUCAGACUCCUACGGGAGGCAGCAGUCGGGAAUUUUGGGCAAUGGGCGAAAGCCUGACCCAGCAACGCCGCGUGAAGGAUGAAGUAUUUCGGUAUGUAAACUUCGAAAGAAUAGGAAGAAUAAAUGACGGUACUAUUUAUAAGGUCCGGCUAACUACGUG